RNAcentral lists this ribosomal RNA (416 nucleotides) under uncultured bacterium. RNAcentral's name for it is "bacterial SSU rRNA". It matches the Rfam family "Bacterial small subunit ribosomal RNA", at positions 355 to 786 of the family's 1533-position model. The record is from RNAcentral.
UGGGGAAUAUUGGGCAAUGGGCGCAAGCCUGACCCAGCAAUGCCGCGUGAAGGAAGAAGGCCCUCGGGUUGUAAACUUCUUUUAUCAGGGACGAAGGAUGUGACGGUACCUGAUGAAUAAGCUCCGGCUAACUACGUGCCAGCAGCCGCGGUAAUACGUAGGGAGCAAGCGUUAUCCGGAUUUACUGGGUGUAAAGGGCGCGUAGGCGGGAUGGCAAGUCAGAUGUGAAAUCCAAGGGCUCAACCUUGAACUGCAUUUGAAACUGUCGUUCUUGAGUACUGGAGAGGUUGACGGAAUUCCUAGUGUAGCGGUGAAAUGCGUAGAUAUUAGGAGGAACACCAGUGGCGAAGGCGGUCAACUGGACAGCAACUGACGCUGAGGCGCGAAAGCGUGGGGAGCAAACAGGAUUAGAUACC